AAUAAUUAUAAAAUAAAGAAAACCCUCCCGUUAAGAAAAAAUAAAUAAAAAACAAAAGGAAAAAAAAAGACUACCCUGUUACGCGCGUGAUCGACGUUGUUAACGAUUGGCUUGUGAAGAAAAAGAAAAAAAGAAAAGGUAAAGGAAGAAAAAAAAACAAUUAAUAUGUUGAACGUGGAGAGAGAGAGAGAGAGAGAGAGAGCGAGAGAGCGAGAGAGCGAACGAGUAGUAUGAAAGUAUGAAUGAAAGAACGAAUGAAUGAAUGAUCGGAAAGAGAGAAAGAGAGAGAGAGCGAGAGAGAAACAGAAAGAGAAAGAAUUAAAAUGGUUCAUAUCAAGGUUGGUUAAUGGAGUAAGAGGGCUCUUUAUUUAGGAUAUAACUAAAUGGUCUGUUUUAAUGUGUCACGGGCUACACGUAUUGUACUAUAAUAUCUAACAAUAAAGUAUUUUGUUUGCUUCAAAUAAAAAAAAAAAAAGAUCGGAA
RNAcentral lists this long non-coding RNA (483 nucleotides) under Polistes fuscatus (common paper wasp). RNAcentral describes it as "uncharacterized LOC122515848". Lineage: Eukaryota; Metazoa; Arthropoda; Insecta; Hymenoptera; Vespidae. The record is from RNAcentral.